Molecule: long non-coding RNA, 3821 nt
Organism: Dromaius novaehollandiae (emu)
Lineage: Eukaryota; Metazoa; Chordata; Aves; Casuariiformes; Dromaiidae
Exons: 3
Source: RefSeq, a predicted model, not a curated record
AGAUGAAGGGAACGGGGAGAAACGAACCUUUCGUCGGCCUGUGCUGGAACAUUUCCGAGCAGCCUCCACAUCUAAACACCCGCAGCCUGGCUCGUCUUUACCUUUCAUUCCUUCUCAUAACAAACUUCUUCCUGCCCUCAAAUUACACAUCUACGAACAAUUUUCUGAAGGAAACUUCGUGGGCCCCUUCAGCAGCAAAGGUAAUUGAGAUAUAAGCGACUUUUGCACACAACCUGCUGUGUAUGCUCAAUAUCAGUUUCAUCAUUAAUACCAGAUGCCAGCUAAAUACUGUCACUGUCAUCCUUAAAUAUCCCACCCUCAGCCUGGAGUGCUUAACAAGCAAACAUAGGCCAGGCCCUUAAAAUCAAAGGCAGCUUUGCUGAAGAAGGGAAGUUAUGCUGUAAAAGAUCAGCCCGUUGGUAAGUGAAGUUUGACAUACACAGCCGUAAGCACAAGUAAAGUUCCUUUCAAAUACAGACGCAGCACGGAAGGCACUUACUCAAAAUUAAGCUUGAUGGGCCGGCAGUGCAAUAAAGUAAUUACAAGCCGAGCUGAUGCACUGAUGAUGUCUCAUGCCAGUGCAUCCACUGAAGGCAGAAAGAGUGAAGAAAAGGCAAGAGACAGCUGACAGUUAAACAGACAGAUACAAAGGUAACAUUUAGGUAAGGUAACAAAGAAAUAACUAGAUAUAGCAUUAUUUUGCACCUGGGAAACUUUAAUAUCAGUCUGUAUUUUAAAAAAUUGUAACUGGAUUUUCACGAGUCACAACUGAAUCUGAUCUUUGUGUUCAAGAAAGGAAAUGUCUCCAUCAUGUCCUCUGAUGUCACCCUACAGAGAAGAUUAGAAGAUUAACUGUGUCAGGUGACACUGAUCCAAUGGCAGAGGAAAUAACUUUGCACAUUCAAAGAGAAAAUCAGGGAGAAAUUCCAGCUGUCUGCAAGAAAUAUGAAUCUCACCAGUGAUGAUUGUUGGCUCACAAAGAAAACACUUUAUGCAAAUGUGUUGAUACACAGUAAAUAAAAUAAGAAGAUCAAAGACUUAGAAGAGGAUUUAUCUUAAAGAAGAGUGGAUGGUCUGAAUCUCAGUGGCAUUUUAGUCUCAUCUAAUUUAUAAGCAGUUGCAUCCUCUGGGGAGGAGUUACAGAGGACUGUGAAAACUAUGUGAGGAAAUAGCAAAGCUACAUCUGGAAGGUAAAACUGGCUUCUGAGCUGUGGCAAUUGUUGUGGGCAAUUUCUCCUAAUGUACCAGAUACCAAGAGGGGUCCGUACAUCAGGACCCACCUGCUGUAGCAUUGCAGUGAGAUGUAUUUGCACAAGCAUUCGCAGAUGGCGAGCACAACGGCAGGAGCCUCGCUGUCACCCUUCACUGAUAAAUGCAGGUGGCUGUUCCGUUACAGCUUCUGCAGGAGGCACCGGCACAGAAGGAUAGAGGCAGAGCCUGUUUUCCUAUCGAUACGUGGUGGAGUUUUAUGCACAGCUGCAAUUAGUGUUCCUGGGAGUUCCCUCUGCAAAUGCUCCAGGUGCUAUUGAGCAGUCUCGUGGUGAAUGUAAAAAGCAAAGAAUAAUUACACAGUUAGAUUUGGUCUUGUGGCUUCUCAUUUCAAUGGUGUUUCUGCAAUUUAUUUCAGUGGGAUUAAGACUGAGCCUUUCACAGCUGACUAUAGCUGCAUUUGCUCUGCACAGGUCUGGUGGAAAAAGGAGUGUUGAGCCCUGAAUGUAAAUAUUAUGGUAUCAAGUGGUAGGUUUGAGGAGAAGGUGAGAGUCUUGCAAACCUGAUCUGGCAGCUGCAAAAAUAACAGUCAGGCAAGCAGAUGGUCUCUGCAGUGAGGGAAAUCUUUACAAGAUUCACAAAUUAGCUCUGCCAGGUUUUUAGUGGUUCUUACCAAAAUUCCUAUAAAUCAGCCUAACUGGCUAGGGAGGUGGAGACAAGAGGAAUCAAUAAUUUCCCUAGAUGGCUUGUAAAUCCAAGGUUAACCGACAAAGGCUUGAGAGCUGGAAGAUCCCAAGAGGAAUUAAGAAAGGACAAUAUCAUCCUUUCAAAAGGUAAAAGCCACAGCAUAAUUCAUCUACUAUAAGUGCUUUGGGGACUAAUUGCAGCUGCCCAUGAUCAAGGAUAUCAGUUUGGUGAUAAAGAAAGGUGAGGUGUCAGACACUCUGAAUUAUUGGCUCAUCCUGGGAAUACUGAAACUUUUGAGGAAACAAAAGCUGCCUCCUUCAGCUGCAGGUCAAUAACGCAGAGGGCAGGCUACUGAGAAAUAACACUUUCACCUACUCUUUAGUAUUCAUUUUAACCAGGCCCAAACAAGAUAUUCAUAUAUAAACAAGAACCAGAAAGUCUUGUCUUCAAAUAAAUGACAUCCCAUUUCCAUUCUCAUCUCCAAUACUUCCUAUCUGUUUAGUCCUAUGUAAAGCACAGCAAGAUAUUUUCAUCAACUCAGCUCAAAAUAUACGUUGUUAAAACUGUCACUUACCAACGGUAGCCAUGAACAGGUACCCAAGAGAGCAGAAUUUCAUCCCAUACUUAAAAUAGGAAUAAACUAAACUCCAUGUAAAUGCAGGCCUUUUAAUGGGUCUGGGAGAGCAGCAAACAGCAGGCUGAGUGAUCGUGGCUAGUAACCCCUUCCCUGGCAACCCUGUGCUGUGGAUAACCCCUAUGAUUUGCUCACAGGUUGUCUGCUGUUUUAGGCUUUCUAGAAUGACCAGCAGCAAAGAGGAGGCUUGCCACCAGGGAGGGCAAUCAGUCCUCCAGAUGGGCUUCUCUACCAAAGCAGUUGCUGCCCCAUAGCACUAGGGGAAGGUCUGCCAUGCUGGGAGACAGAAGCACUAAGGAACUGCUAAUAGAGUCAGAGUCGAAUGAGCAGCAUUAGGGAAUCCUGAGUUUUGUACCUUGGUUCAAUAUGAUCCAAUCUACAACCAUUUUCAUUUGCCUCUUUGCAGACGUUGAUCAGUGUUUGACAGAAGGAAUGAUUAGGGAGGAGCUGUCAUUCUUGCUCGUUUGGAGAUGCCUCCUUUGUACAAUAAACAGAGUCUCACAAUUAAUGGAAGCAGUGACCUUGCUAGCAAUUUCUACAAAGAGGACAGGGAUCCACUGGAAUAGUGAAUAAAGCACCAUUUAAGUGACCUCUGUAGGUCACAUUGGGGCUGAGACAUAUUGCUGGAGCCAUAGGAAACCUUGCGUGUGACUGCUUCUGUAUUUCCAAGUGCUUUUCAUCAAAAGCAGGGUUGGAUUUGUUUCAGAUUCCCAUAUAUUGAUGCUCUUUACUCUGCACACCUCCAGGUACCUUGAGGAGAAAUUCAGGGCCUGCUUUGUGUGGUUAGACUCACAGCUCUGGAGGUGUGGGGUGGGAAGGGUGGACUAGACACAAGAGCUGUAGCAUCUCACUGUUGAGUCACGCAGCACCUGGCUGGAAGGCAUUGCAUUGAGUCUCCUAGUAGGAAACACAAGUCCACCACUUCCAGCACAGGGAGGAGGAAAUUCAGGAAGGGGGUGAAGUGACUUUCCUAAAGUCGCUCCGUGAACAGUGGCAAGGUGGCAGUGGAGUCUGGUCCCUGCUCCAUGAUGGGCAAGGGACAAUCAGGGGGUUCACUAAAUCAGGUUGUCAAACUGAAGUGCCACUUGCAAAAAUAAAAAUCUCAGUAAAAAUAAUUUGUUUACUGUUAUCAAAGAAAGGAAAGAGAGAAAAAAAUAUCAUCCCAUGUGUUCAUGAAAAAUGUGAGAAUCUUUAUUUUUCUUCUUUACUGAAAGCCUUGAUGAAUGGAAAAAUAUUUUUGUCCAGCAGGCUGACACUGAGAUGUGCCUUGCACUGGCACCUUGGAUUUUUG